GUGUGACCUGUGGGCUUCCCUUUGUCAUCCUAUGCCUGGAGAUCAUAGUGAGGCAGGGACAGCAAAGGGAUGCUCAGCUGUCGUCUCU
Molecule: microRNA precursor, 88 nt
Filed under: Dryobates pubescens (Downy woodpecker)
Lineage: Eukaryota; Metazoa; Chordata; Aves; Piciformes; Picidae
Description: Picoides pubescens (downy woodpecker) mir-204 microRNA precursor family
Rfam family: mir-204 microRNA precursor family
Source: Rfam by way of RNAcentral